Molecule: ribosomal RNA, 433 nt
Filed under: uncultured bacterium
Lineage: Bacteria
Description: partial 16S ribosomal RNA
Rfam family: Bacterial small subunit ribosomal RNA
Source: RNAcentral
AACGAACGCUGGCGGCAUGCCUAACACAUGCAAGUCGAACGAGACCUUCGGGUCUAGUGGCGCACGGGUGCGUAACGCGUGGGAACCUGCCCUUAGGUUCGGAAUAACUCCCCGAAAGGGGUGCUAAUACCGGAUAAUGUCUUCGGACCAAAGAUUUAUCGCCUUUGGAUGGGCCCGCGUUGGAUUAGCUAGUUGGUAGGGUAAAAGCCUACCAAGGCGACGAUCCAUAGCUGGUCUGAGAGGAUGAUCAGCCACACUGGGACUGAGACACGGCCCAGACUCCUACGGGAGGCAGCAGUGGGGAAUAUUGGACAAUGGGCGAAAGCCUGAUCCAGCAAUGCCGCGUGAGUGAUGAAGGCCUUAGGGUAGUAAAGCUCUUUUACCCGGGAUGAUAAUGACAGUACCGAGAGAAUAAGCUCCGGCUAACUCCGUG